RNAcentral lists this long non-coding RNA (2846 nucleotides) under Sus scrofa (pig). RNAcentral describes it as "lncRNA (ENSSSCG00005037024.1)". The record is from RNAcentral. Lineage: Eukaryota; Metazoa; Chordata; Mammalia; Artiodactyla; Suidae.
CCUUUGCUGUGCAAAAGCUUAUCCGUUUGAUUAGGUCCCAUUGGCUUAUUUUUGCUCUUAUUUCUGCUGCUUUGGGAGACUGACCUGAGAAAACACUCGUACGGCGGAUGUCAGAGAGUGUUCUGCCUGUGUUCUCCUCCAGGAGUUGGAUGGUGUCUCGUCUCACGUUUAAGUCUUUCAGCCGUUUUGGGGGCAUUUUUGUGCCUGGUGUGAGGGCGUGUUCCAGUUUCACUGAUUUGCACGCAGCUGUCCAGGUUUCCCAGCAACUUGCUGAAAAGACUGUCUUUUUCCCAUUUUACGUUCUGGCCUCCUUCGUCAAAGAUUAACUGACCGUAGGUGUCAGGGUUUAUUUCCGGCUUCUCUGUUCUGUUCCAUUGUCUGUCUGUCUGCUUUGGUACCGGGACCACGCUGUCUCGAUGACUGUGGCUUUGUCAUUGAGCCUGAAGUCUGGGAGGGUGACGCCGCCUGCUUGGUGUUUGCUCCUCACGAUUGCGUUGGCCGUUCUGGGUCUUGUGUGGUUCCCUAUACAUGUUUGGAUUGUUUGUUCUAGUUCUGUGAAAAAGGUCAUGGGUAAUUUGAUAGGGAUUGCAUUGAAUCUGUGGAAACAAACCCAGCUAGUAUCCAUGAGGAUGCAGGCGUGCUUUGAGAAGGCAGAAUAUUGCCACACAAGGUACCUGCUGAUGGCACCAAGAAGAAAUCCCGGGAACCUCGGAGCCAGGAGAAAGAGAGACAGAAAGGGAGGGCAGCCAGGAGGGAGGGAGGGACAGAUGGACGGACGGAUGGCCCGAGAAAUACAGAAAGCUUAGCCACCUGAGGUUGCUUCCUGAAGGGCAGCAAAUCUCAGAAAGGUGCAGUUGGGGACGGGGAUGCCCGGGGGGUCCCAGGAUGCUUUCGGGGGGCCCUCAAGGUCAGAGCUGCCUGCUGUCCUGUGGUCCCGAGACCUCCACGACCUCUUCACGCUCAUUCUCUAAGGGACACACAGUGGCUUCCCCGGGUCACGUGAUGGCAAUGAUUGGCUCUUAUGAAGGUCGUGGAUGUGUGACUGCGUAUCUUUGACGUUUUUCUCAGUUACAGCUGUUAAUAACCUCAGUAUGGUCAGAUUCAGCCCACAGAACACGCAAGCUCCUUGGGAGCGUCUUUGAUAAUUGCCAGAAGCGAAAAGGAGCCCUGGGACCAAUCAGUUUCAGAACCGACGCUCAAGAGACACACGGCUGAGGCAGGGUCAGGCCUGGACGCUCCCGUGGGACAGAGGAGCCGAGCCAGGCAUCUGUGGACAGGCGCGUGGCCGCAGCCCCGAGAAGCCACCCGGCUUGGCCUCCGGUGCCCUCCUUGGAGCACUGAGUGCGCCUCCCGUGAGAUAAAGAGAGAGGGAGAAAGGAUGCCACGGGCACAGCGUCUUUCUCACUUUCUAACUCCCCCAACUGGCCAGGCUGGCACAAAAUUAGGGUAAAUCAGGAUAUACUUUGGAAUUGAGGGUCAGCUGCUGGUGCCAGAGAGGUUUGGGUUUCCACCUGAAAAGCUUUCUUCAAAACCGCUAAAACGUGGCUAAAACGAUCUUAAAUGAUAACCUGCUUCCAAGAGAGACCUCCCCGUCCAGGACCCCGACCCAAUGGCACCGUAGGGGCCCCAGGCCCCUUUCACUUGGGCUCUGGACCGAGGCCUGGAGUUGCGCGAUCCAGCAGCACCGGGAAUCGCGAAAACCUGGGAUCAGCCUGGCUCCUCCUCAUUCAAGCUGCACGACCGUCCCACAGCUUCCGCAAGAGAGGUGUUGCAGGAGGACCUGCUCAGGGCCGCAGGGGUGAAGCGGGGCGCAGCAGGCAGGGAAAGGCCACCUCAGCAGGUGGGGAGAGCGCUGGGGGCCGCAGCCUGGAGCUCACGGCCACAGCCGGGGGAUGCUGGACCGGCACGCCGAGGCGGAGACCUCACGCCUUCCCAACAAGUGCCACUCUGCACGUCCGACUUCCGCUUUUACGGUCGCCGCGCGGUCGCCUUUCCUUUCCCUGUCCCAUUUACCACAAAUAGGGCAGCCCUGUGGGCAGACCCCAGACGAGACGCCGAGACGCAGCCCAGGCCCCGCUUCCCAGAGCCUCUCAGCCGCUCAGGGAAACUCGAAGCUCAGAGCACAGACCCGCACGGCACCCACUACACCCACAGUAACCACGGCCGGCCCGGCUGGGAUGCUCUGUGUUCGGGGCAAGGCACUUUGGCACGUGCCACAACCGCUCCUCAGGAGGCCCCAAGGGUGCAGGUGCUGCUGUGUCACCCCAACGCGGAGGGGAGUCUGGGUCACAGGCCAGGUAACGUGUCGAAGGGCCCAUCGCUGAGGCCUGAUGGAGCCUAAACCCAGAACCCAGAAUCUCUGGCUCCAGGAUGGAUGCUCUUAGUACCUUGCUGUAGCCCCCCGAACCCAUCCACACCCGGGGCCCUGACGGGUGCAGCACACAGAGGGGGAGUCGAGAGACUGGAGGGGGGUCCUGGCUCUUCUGCUUUGCCCGGGAAACCUGAACAGCUUACGUAUCUGCCCUGAGCCUUCGCGUCUUCAUCCAAGACACGAGCAUGAUCAUCAGGCCAAACUCGAAACUCGGCAGGAUCCAGGACCCUAUGAAAUACUGCAGCGUCCUCUGGCGCCGCGGUUUCAAGUCCAGAGUGAGGGAACCAGGUUUCGCUGGAGGCUCUGCGGCCCCGAGAGGCCGUUUAGCCUCUCGAAGCCUUAGCUGCAUCCUCCCUACAAGAGCGAGAAUAAAAUACACGCGAGGAGACGGAAGGAAGAGAGUAGGCAUGAGAGAGGUCGGCGCAGCGCCCAGCAACCGUGCGGCACACGUUAGCUUGUCCGUUAGACACAAGGG